CAUAAUGACAGGGGGAGUAUCAUUGCUUUACACAUUGUUUCAUCACACAUCUAUAUUUCAGCGGGAGUGUACAUUGUAUUCAACACUCAAUUUCGUCCGGUUGAAUAAAUAAUAGAACUUAUUUUUAUUUUUGUCUUAUUUUAUUUUUAUUUUGUUAUUUUUAAUUUUUAUUUUACUAUUUGGUAUUUGAUUUAUUUUUUUAUUUUUUUAUUUGAUUUGAUUCUUUUUUGGAAAAAAGAAAAGAAAGAAAAGAACAAAAAAGAAGAACAAAAAAACGAAAAGGAAAAAGAAAGAAAAAAAAAGAAAAAGAAUAAAAGAGAAAAAAGGGAAAAGAAAAAUAAAACAAAGAAGAAAAAAGGAAAAAGAAAAACAAAAGGAAAAAAGGAAGGAAGGAAAAAAGAAAAAAAAAAGGUGUGCAUGGGAAUAAAAUGAAAAGAAAAGAAUGGUGAUAAAAUGGGAGAGGUGCUCCACGUGAUUAUCUUGGAAAAAUGGUGCAGCAGACCCAUAAGCAAUUAAUAUUAAUGCAUGAUAGAUCACUUUAGAAUAUUUUCGAAGUUUUGUUUUAUUUGGUAAUAAUUCGAAUCAACAUUAUGACAAUCAUUACAAGCAAUAAUUAAAAAUAAUAUAUUGAUUGUUGUAUUCAGUUUCUUCCUAAAGAGAAAAAUAUGAUUUUAAUUUGAUUUAUUUUUCUUCAAUCAAGACCAUUUAUUUCCCUAUUUUGCUAAUUGACAAUUAAUUCGCNAUUAAGGCAAGAUCACAAUAAUAUUACAAAUGUGUGUAUAUAAAUAUGCACCUUGUAAACAAGAAAAGGGGAGGAGAAAAAACAAAUUAAAUUUCAGGAAGAGAACAUAAGGGAACAGAAAAAAAAGGAGGCAGCUGCUACACUCAUUUUGGCUUUUGAAUGCGGUACAGAGGUGGAAGCACCGACCACUUGCAGCUUGCCGGUUUAAAAGGAGGAGAAAAAUCCAAUUUCAGAAAGAGAACAUAAGGAAACAAAAAAAAGGAGUGGGGCAAAGAGGCACGUGCACAGAUGAAUGAAAACAAUUCUGUGGAAGCUUUUUGUGGUGCAGUGAAGGACCUUUAAGGCAGCUUCAGAAGGGUGGAGAUCAAUUUCCUGAUUAUAUAUCCUUUCCCAUUCUUAUUGGACUUUUUGUUUUCAUUUUAUUUUCUUUGCUUUUAUUUCUUAGGUUUUGGUAUAUUCUUUUAUUAUUGAUGGUUUGCUGUACUCGUUUUUUAAUAAAAAUACGAAAUAUAAGAAUCAUAGAAAGUAAAUAAACAA
Molecule: long non-coding RNA, 1279 nt
Filed under: Vigna radiata
Lineage: Eukaryota; Viridiplantae; Streptophyta; Magnoliopsida; Fabales; Fabaceae
Description: long non-coding RNA (VRAD_LNC015903)
Source: RNAcentral